This 255-nucleotide ribosomal RNA is filed under the name uncultured bacterium. Its description in RNAcentral is "partial 16S ribosomal RNA". It matches the Rfam family "Bacterial small subunit ribosomal RNA", at positions 524 to 776 of the family's 1533-position model. The record is from RNAcentral.
UACAGGGGGGUGCAAACGUUGCUCGGAAUCAUUGGGCGUAAAGCGCACGUAGGCGGUUCGUUAUGUCGGAUGUGAAAGCCCUUGGCUUAACCGAGGAAGUGCAUCCGAAACUGGCGAGCUAGAGUACUAAAGAGGAUCGCGGAAUUCCCGGUGUAGAGGUGAAAUUCGUAGAUAUCGGGAGGAACACCGGUGGCGAAGGCGGCGAUCUGGGUAGAUACUGACGCUGAGGUGCGAAAGCGUGGGGGAGCAAACAGG